CCCCUGCCAGCUUGAUAAGUGGUAUCAUAACAGAAAAGGUAUGAAUCCUUCUGCAACUUUGAUUGGAAAUGUUCACAACAUUUGGUGGAUUUUGUAUGAUCAUUUGCAUCUCUGAGCAGGGUGUCAUCACAAAGACGGGCAUGGAUGAUUUUGACAUAAAGGAUUUCAUAAAUAAGGCUGGAUGAUUUUGACAUAAAGGAUUUCAUAAAUAAGGCUGUCGGCCAGUGCAUUGCGUAAGAGGCCAAUGUAGUGAACAAGGUUUUGGUUGGUAAUUUGAAGAGCUAUCUGCCUGCAUUGUAUUCAAGCUUCUAUGAUUACAGACCCAUCUG
RNAcentral lists this long non-coding RNA (329 nucleotides) under Populus trichocarpa (black cottonwood). RNAcentral describes it as "long non-coding RNA (PTRI_LNC001857)". The record is from RNAcentral. Lineage: Eukaryota; Viridiplantae; Streptophyta; Magnoliopsida; Malpighiales; Salicaceae.